Long non-coding RNA from Bombus pyrosoma, 1985 nucleotides. RefSeq lists it as uncharacterized. The transcript has 2 exons. The record is from RefSeq and is a predicted model, not a curated record. Lineage: Eukaryota; Metazoa; Arthropoda; Insecta; Hymenoptera; Apidae.
AGUUGAAACUUCCGCGACUUGCAGAAACUUUAUAGAGAACUAAAAAUACCAUCUAAUGUGAGAUUAAAAAAUUCAUUAUUCCAGUUUAUGAUAAUAAAUAAAUAUACACUUAUAAAUUUAAUUUCCUUGAAGAAAAUAACAUUUGAAAAAUUACGAGUGUUUUGUCAGCGUUAAAAGAUUACAAGUAACUAAAAAGCGCAGUAUUUGGCUGAAAAAUAAGAAUUCUUCGCUAAAAAAGAAUUAAGAAAAUCAUAAUCGAAGAAAUGCCGCGUAAUUACUUCACGAUAGUAACAGAUUACUUGAAGGGCUUGGAAACAAAUACCGACAAUAUUAUUCAAGUCAUUAAAAAAGACCAUCGCGAAGUAAAAUUAUCCGAAACGAAUCAGUGGAUAUACAUAACAAGAGAUAUAUCUUCUCCAGAGCAGAUAUCGUUACACAGAUUCAUCUGUACAUUUAAACUAACUUUCUUUAAAUAAUUCACGAUGCCGUAAUACGUAUAUACAUAUACAAAUUGUGUCGGGUGUGGUAUCGAUAAUAAAACCAUCGUUUAGUCAGUGAGCCGAAGCACGGUGGCACGAACCCGAUAAUAAGUCUAAUAAUUAAUUAUAAUACAACGACGAUGAAGGUACUAUCAUCGAGAAAAAAGGAAGCUGCUAAGGUCGGCGCAGUCCGCUCGACACUCUCAUCGCUCUCGUUCUCACAGUCGUCAAUUAAGGUAUAAAAAUAAUAGCCUCCAGUCGGCACACUAAAUUAGUCCGCCAACUGUACAUAUACGAAUGUGCAGAAUUCAUAUCUGAGCAUUUAUCGUCCUUCGUUUCUCUUUCUUUAUUCGCAUUUAUGCGUUUUCGUCUCGCGACACAAAGGUAGCGGCUAAAAAACGGAAACUCAUUCGCAAGUCACACGGCUUCGGUUUUGGUUUUUCAUUCUUCCUUUCAUUCUCUCUUUUACUCUUUGUUACACGCUCGCACAUUCGCACAAUCUCUCGUUUACUAUUCGCGUAAAAAUAGUUAGGCACUAAAACAAUAAUAUAAGUAAAGUCCGUCAGUCCUAUGUGAGUUCAGCUAAAAGUUAAUCACAUGUUUCUUCUUUUAAUCUUCUUUUUCUCUUCUCUCUCUCUCUCUCUCUCUCUCUCACUCUCUUUCUUUCUUCGUACAGUUAACGUCCGUUGUAAUAACUAGGAUCACUGUGAUUAAACGCACGAAUGCUCGAUGUCUUGACGAUCGCUAACCCUUUUUCCCUUACUUUUUAUAAAUAACGAAAUUGGUUGAAGCAAGGAACUGUGUGGUACGUAGUGUUUCUUACCGAGUCGUUACAUUCAAGUCAUACGAUCCGACUAAUUCUAGGUCCGUUGACCUAUCGGUCUACCUCACGACAGCGAAUAUGCUUCUCUUUUUAUAGUAAAAACGACAUGCUUCUCUUUGACGUUCUCUUUUCUCGCUUUUUCAACACGCAGUUAUUCGUUUAUUUCUUCUUUUCUUGUUUUUAUUAAACGUGUAUAUUUUUAAGUGAGAAUAUCUGGGACAUUUGAAGAUUCGAAAAAUUUCGAAGAAAAGGAAUUCUCUUUUUGAUGUAAUCAUAUUUCGAGGAAAUUGAAAGGAGAAUCAGAACUUUUAGGAGUAUGAUUAAAAGUAUUUUGCUGUACGCUGCAGAAAUAUGAGGCUGGAAGGAAGCAAAACAUGAAUACAGAAUAUAUGAGAGAAAUAUAUUAGAUGGAUAAUGGCUGUGGACUUCAUCUCAUCGUUUCUAAUGUUUAAUCCUCGAGGAAACCAAAACGAAUGGAUAGAAUAAAGUAAGGAUAGAGGCAAGCAAAAGAGCAAUAAGAUGCGAGCAGAAAACCAAACGGUUAAAUAAGUAUAAAAUAAUACAAGAAUCUUGAAGGGAAAUAGAUACGAAGGAAGAAGAUAAGAAGCGAACUGGGAAGAAAUUAGAGACACAUACCACAGACAGAAAAUGACAGGUAUUAAAGAAGUGCAAAUGGAAAAAAA